This 253-nucleotide ribosomal RNA is filed under the name uncultured bacterium. RNAcentral's name for it is "partial 16S ribosomal RNA". It matches the Rfam family "Bacterial small subunit ribosomal RNA", at positions 524 to 776 of the family's 1533-position model. The record is from RNAcentral.
UACGUAGGGUGCAAGCGUUAAUCGGAAUUACUGGGCGUAAAGCGUGCGCAGGCGGCUUUGCAAGACAGAUGUGAAAUCCCCGGGCUCAACCUGGGAACUGCAGUUGUGACUGCAAGGCUGGAGUACGGCAGAGGGGGAUGGAAUUCCGCGUGUAGCAGUGAAAUGCGUAGAUAUGCGGAGGAACACCGAUGGCGAAGGCAAUCCCCUGGGCCUGUACUGACGCUCAUGCACGAAAGCGUGGGGAGCAAACAGG